UGCUUUUUGUGUGUAUACACGUGAAUGUAUUUAGCAUGUGCAGUUACACACACAUGUAGAGGCCAAAGGACAAGCUUGACUUGCACACCUUUACAAAAACCUUUAAAAAACCCAAGGUCUCUUGUUGUCCUGGCCUGACUGACACUUGCCAAGCAGCCGAGGCUAUUCAUCCCUCGGGCGCCAAGCAUCUGUCGGUCUCUGCUUCCCAGCCAGUGGAUUACAGCACACACCACCGCUCCGUGACCAUACACAUGCACGCUGGGACUGAGCACAGGUCCUCAUGUUUACAAGGUUUAAGACUAUCUGAGGAAAUAUGGGCGUUUGAACUGGACAAAAUCUGGACACCUUUGCUGUGAGUUAGACUGCGGAUACCUUUUUGAGAACAAGGAUAUAUACUUCCAUCUUCCUGGGGCUCACGCCUCCUGUUCACACACCUGUCUGAAUGCAGAUGUCAUUGUUUGGAAUUAAAGGUAUGUGCCAAAGGCAUGUCCAUAUUCCAGCCAGAGGGAUUAAAGAGCCUGAGAUAAAGCCUGGCAUCGUUCCAGAAUUACUAUACAUUAUUUUGGAGAACAAAAAUUGAGUCCUUGUUUUUCAUCCAACUUCACUGAAGACAAAGUGCGAUGUUAUUUAGAAGAAUGGACAAAAACCUUCAAAGCACAGGAACAUCCUGCUCUGUAAGUAGAACAGAGCUCUAGGCUGCCAUGAACAUUUAAGUGCCCGGUGGGCACAGAAGCUAGAGCUGGAGUUCCAUAGCCUUGGGCAGCUUCCUGAAAUUCUAUCUCGUUCUCCAGGUGCUGCUCUUCUUCCCGCGCUAGGAGGAAGCUCCGGGAGUCACAGCGACCCACACAGAAGUUAGUUUUCUCAAAAGAAAAAGGGAUAUUUGGUAUUUGAUGACCAGCUGGUGUGCUCUUUCCUGGACAAGAUGAAGAUGAAGACUUCUUUCAGCCAAGAAGGGAGUUGAGGGGAGACUGAGGUCAGACCGUACCUUGCUUGACCUUGACCAGGUCUACUAAAGUUUUCUCACCUCUUUCCCCUGUCCCUUUGUAAGUCGAUAUCAGAAGGGCUGUCUUGUUGUCACUGUCCCCUCCCCUUUUCUCUCCUAGUGUGGCCACAUUGUAAAAUUUCCCUGUUUUCCACCAUUUCUCAUCUGUUGGUGUCCUGGGAGGGGAGGCUUGUUCUAGCCAGAGACAGCUUUUGUUUUCUAUUCACAGGCUGCAAUUUGUCUAAAACUGAUCUCAGAUACCAAAGCCUUCAACAGGAGUUCCCACAUGUUUCCUUGGAAGAAAAAAAAAAAAACAUGAUGGAAUACAUGACCAGGAAUGUGUGUGAUGGACUAUUUUGAAAGUAAGGUUUUAAAAAUCAUACCCCAGAUUUAAUAAUUUCAAAAUAGAAUUCAUAUCACAAUAUUUCACAGAAUGCCUAAAUAUUGGUGGAACAAAAUGAAACAUUUGAAAGAACAAUCUGUAUUGUUAAGAGUACAGAUUUCUGUUUUUUAAACAUUUUCAGCAUCUAUAACAUUACUUUGUUCAUUAAUAGAAUCAUUGUAUUUGCUUGGUCAUGGUAGAUGUCUUUGUAUAGUCACUCUAAAUAAUGAUUCAUGAAAUGUUAUUUUUGCCUCUUUCAAAAAAAUGUAUGUAUACAAUAGUCAUCAAAGCUUUUCCAUGUCUUUUUCAAAGGAAAAUUUAUUUAAAAAUCCUACUGCCAAAUAUCUGUAUUUGGGUAGUAUCUUGCACAGGCACUAAAUUUAGAAAAAGUAUUUUUUUCCAUAUAAAAGUCUUUUAACAUUAACAACCUGCUUGUAACUAUCAAUAAUUUGGGAAAUGAUGGUUUUCUCUACAAUUUCUUUAUUCCACAGUGCUUAGGUAUGCAACCAAUACAACUUCAUUGAUAAAUCAAACUUGUCCAACUGCUGUUCAUUACAUAGCAGAUUAUGACAUCUUUCCUAUCUUAAUGAGUUUCCUCAGAACAAUAUAUUGUGGAGUGACUCAGAGACAAAAGCAUUUGAUGCCCAAUUGAGAGGACAGGAGUUCAGAUCCCCAGGACCUACAUAAAUGCAGGGUGGGCAUGGUGGCUUGUCUGUAAUUCAAACCUCAGAAGGCAGAGAUAGGGCAUCCCCAUUCGAGCUGGUUAACAAGGCCAGCCACAUUAGUAAGCUCUGUGUUUCAGAGACUCAGACUCCAAAGAAUCCAGGUCAGAGAGCAGAUUCCCAAUGUUAACUGGGCUCUAAAUGCAUGCCCACACUCCUGCGUAUCUACACACACACACACACACACACACACACACACACACACACACACACACUGUACACACAAGACCACACACAACUAAAAGGAAUGAACAAUUGUGAAAAGAGAAGAAACUAUUUAACCUUUUUGUUAAAUUAUGACCUCUGAUUGAGAUCAUUUUUCUCUGUUACUAUGUGGUUGACUUUGUUUUAUGAUAAUUUAAAAGAUUUUUAUUCACCAUAUAGAGGUUUUUUUAAGUAUAUGCAAUAUUGAUUGAUCCAUUUUUGAGUUAGAAAAAACAGAUAGAGUGAUUUUACUAAUAAGACUUUAUUUCCAUUUGAAAGCAAAAACCUCAGUUUCAGAUUUCAGUAAAAUAAGGAUGCUUUUAAAUUAUAUUUACCCUAUAAAAUAUGGGCUAUAAUGUAUGCUUAUAUCUAUGCCAUAUCACUACGAUGAAUUCAAAUUGAAGAUAUGUAGUAUCAGUGUUUCAAAAAACAAAUGUCAUUGAAAAUAUGAUUGUUUGGAACAGAAAAAUAAAGUGCAGUAAAAUCUUCAAUGGUGUUCUGUUUAGGAGGUUGUCUCCUAUGCCAAUGAGGUCAAGGCUCUUCCCCCACUUUUUCUUCUAACAGGUUUGUGUGUUUGGUUUUAUGUUGAGGUCUUUGAUCCAUUUGGAUUUUUUGUGCAAGGUGAUAAAUUCAGGCUCUAAGAUCAACAAUCAAUAAAUGGGACCUCAAGAAACUGAAAAUCUUUUGUAAAGCAAAGGGCACUGUCAUCUGAACAAAAUGACAGCCUACAGAUUGGGAAAGGAUCUUUACCAACCCUAUAUCUGACAGAGGGCUAAUAUCUAGAAUAUAUAAAAAACUGAAGAUGUUAAACAGCAACAAACUAAGUAAUCCAAUUAAAAAAUGGGGAACAGAGCUAAACAGAGAAUUGUCAACAGAAGAAUAUCGAAUGGCAAAGAAACACUUAAAGAAAUGGUCAACAUCCUUAUCAUCAGGGAGAUGCAAAUCAAAAUCAUCCUGAGAUUUUACCUUAUACCCAUCAGAAUGGCUAAAAUAAAGAACUCAAGUGGCAACACAUGCUGAAGAGGAUACCCUCUUCCAUUGAUGCUGGGAAUGUAAACUUGUACAACCACUUUGGAACUCAAUCUGGCACUUUCUCAAACAAUUAGGAAUAGUACUAUCUCAAGAUCCAGCUAUACGACUCUUAUGCAUAUAUCCAAAAUACGCUCAACUAUUCAACAAGGACAUUUGCUCAACCAUGUUUGUAGCAGCUCUAUUCGUAAUAGCCAGAAGCUGGAAACAACCUAGAUGUCCCUCAACGGAGGAAUGGAUACAGAAAUUGUGGUACAUUUACACAAUGGAAUACUACUCAGCAAUUAAAAACAAGGAAAUAAUGAAAUUUGCAGCCAAAUGGUGGAAACUAGAAAAGAUCAUCUUGCAGAGGUAUCCCAGAAGCAGAAAGACACACAUGGUAUUUUCUUUUUCUUUUUUUUUUCUUUCUUUCUUUCUUUCUUUCUUUCUUUCUUUCUUUCUUUCUUUCUUUCUUUCUUUCUCUCUCUCUCUCUCUCUAUCUCUCUCUUUCUAUUUUCAUUGUUGUUCUCUUGUAAAACUUAAUUGCAAAAAUGCUAUAAGAGACAUUGCAUUCAUAUGUAAAAUGGAGCUAGGUUCUAGAAUCAUGUAAACAAACUGGCUUUUCACCCACAUGAAAGUUCAUUGAGUGAGUCAUUUCCAAAUCAUGUGAGUCCUAAGAGACUUAUUUCCUUAAUGACAGCCCCAAGGUUUAACUGUGCUCUUUAUUCUACGCCUCCUCACUGUUUCCCAGUUCCAGAAACCUCUCUGCAAACCAAGAUAUCCAGAACUAUUCCUGCCAUUUUCUAAGACACCUCCUGAGACCACAGAGUCUUCGCUGAGAACUAAUUAAAUCACAGAAGACGUUUUAUUAGCUUGAAAGAACUACCCAUAAGCCUGCUGAAAUCUAAGUCAUUGACUCUUUUCUUCUCUUCUUCAGGUGGUAGGUUUGGGACUCCAAGAUACCUUCAUUUGUUUUUAAAGGGCUCUUUAGAAUUAUUUUAAGUAAACUUUUACGCUUAGAACAGAGGAUGUUUAGUGUGUGUGUGUGUGUGUGUGUGUGUGUGUGUGUGUGUGUAGUCAGUUCUCUUCUUCCUUGAUGUGGGUCUCAAGGGCCAAACUCAAGCUAUUAGACUUGGAAGGUGAGGCCUUUUUCUGCCGAGCCGUCCUGCUGGCCAACAGUAGGAGUUUUAAGGAAUGAUAGUAGAGAGUAUCAAAGUUUUCCAUAAAGCCUACUUUUGUCCUUCACAUCCUCAGUCAUAUGGCACAUUAGUUAGGGCUCACGAGCAAAGCUUGAUUAUUGGUGUUAAGUCAAAUGCACAUUUUGUUCAGGUUGCCUUAGUUUAUCAUAACUGUGAUUCCAGAGUUCCAUACAGAACACAUCAGGUCCUCACAACGUAGUUUCUGGGCUGUGAUAAUUUAUCUUUGUUUCUGAUCCUUUACAGUUUUGAAGAGUUCUGUCCAAGCACCAAUGCCCCUCACAUUGGUUCUGGUUGGUGUUUUUGUUGUGACAAGACUGAGGCCAUGGAUCUGUGGGAGGGAGAACACAGAGAAACUGUCAUCCACAUUCGUCAUUUUCUAGGAACCUUCAACUUGGCUUUGAUUGAUGUUCCUCUUUUCCUGGCCAGCAUUCUCACUUGUAGGUGAUCCGUGCUACCCUUUCUCCCCGGUGCUUUUCCAUGGUAAUUACUGAGCACAGCCCACACUUAUGGAGUGGGGAUCUUAUAGUUCUCGCGCUCCUUAAGAGUGGAAAGCUAGUAUCACAUUACAAGGAAUGCUUCCCAGGGAGUUUGCUUCGUUGCUGAUUUAUUUAAUCAUCUAUGUGAGUGUGGCCUCAUGGGUAUCUUCUGUUUUGGAUUGUAACACAGUGUAUUACUUUAGCUAUUCUGUUGUGCUUCUCCGCUCCCCAGCCCAUAUGCUCAUUAGUUUAGCUCGAAGGUGGUUUGGGCUUUGUCUAUUUUGGAAUAAAUUUUUUACUUUCUAAAGCAAUAGAUGCUCCACGUUCAAAUUGUAUAUUUUUUUUCUGUAAAUCUUGUAAUUAGAUAGAUCUUCAAGGAUCCUAGACUAUCCUCUUCCCUCCUUCUCCUCUUCUUUUCCCUUCCACCUCCAUUUCCUCUUUGUUUUUCUCUCCUUUACCUACUCUUCCUCUUUCACAGAAUUCUAUUAGAAAUCAAAAUCCAUGUGCCUGGGACACUCCUUGCACCUGAAUGUAAUCACUGCUAGACUUCCUCAGCAGUCACAGCAAGGAAAUAUCCAUGCACAUGCUGAUCUGUAUCUAUGCACGUAUCUAUAAACAUUUCUACAGCAUGCAGCUGCACGUAAACCAAAUGUGAAUUCCCACUGACGUUUCCAAUUCUAAUCCUUUAUCACCCAGAUUACACUUAGCUUUUUUUGUCUACCUACGUUUCCACAAAUUCUCAGUUUGAAAAUGAGAGACCUGGCUUAUCUCAAGUCAGCGGUGAACCCAUGCUUCUAUGAGAAAUGGUUUUAGAAAUCAAAGCACAGGUUAUUCACCCCCCUUUUAGUUUUAAUAUUACAAAUUUCAUCAGUCCCUAAGGUUGUUGAGAUUGCCACUGUUCCCUCCACCCCUUCAGUGACUUUGGUUGCAAUUAGGUUAUAUUCCGUGUCCUAAAUUCUCCCCUGCAUUACUUCUGAAUGGUUAUUUUCUAGUGAGUUAACUUUCAAUCGUUGUGCUGUAAAGUUGUAUAGGUUUUACCAAAUGGAGUGUAUCCAGAGUAAUGGUAUUUUAUACAACAGGUUUUAUUAUGCUAAAACUGGUUUCCUAGGACUGAAACCAGAUACUAUGUUGUCAUUUGUAACUUCUCUCUUUACCUUAACUAUGCCCAUUCAAUUUUCAUUUAUAUUUUUUAAAGCAAAUGAGUAAAACAAUUAUGGAAAAUUAUUUGGAUGUUGUAAAAAAAUGAAAAUAAAAUCACUGUCUGAUUUUGUAAUUCAAAA
This is a long non-coding RNA of Meriones unguiculatus (Mongolian gerbil), 6253 nucleotides long. RefSeq lists it as uncharacterized. The record is from RefSeq and is a predicted model, not a curated record. Lineage: Eukaryota; Metazoa; Chordata; Mammalia; Rodentia; Muridae. The transcript has 7 exons.